AGCAGCCGCGGUAAUUCCAGCUCCAAUAGCGUAUAUUAAAGUUGUUGCAGUUAAAAAGCUCGUAGUUGAAUUUCGGGAUCAAUAUGUUGGUCGUGCCUUGGUACGUACUGGCAUUAUCGAUUCCUACCUUCUGAAGAACCUCGAUGUCAUUAAUUUGGUGUCUUGGGGAAUCAGGACUGUUACUUUGAAAAAUUAGAGUGUUUAAAGCAGGCUCGCGCUUGAAUACAUUAGCAUGGAAUAAUGAAAUAGGACGUUUGAUUCUAUUUUGUUGGUUUUCUAGGAUCGACGUAAUGAUUAAUAGGGAUAGUUGGGGGCAUUAGUAUUCAAUUGUCAGAGGUGAAAUUCUUGGAUUUAUUGAAGACUAACUACUGCGAAAGCAUUUGCCAAGGAUGUUUUCAUUAAUCAAGAACGAAAGUUAGGGGAUCGAAGACGAUCAGAUACCGUCGUAGUCUUAACCAUAAACUAUGCCGACUAGGGAUCGGAUGAUGUUAAUUUUUUAAUGUACUCAUUCGGCGUACCC
Molecule: ribosomal RNA, 520 nt
Filed under: uncultured Glomus
Lineage: Eukaryota; Fungi; Glomeromycota; Glomeromycetes; Glomerales; Glomeraceae
Description: SSU rRNA
Rfam family: Eukaryotic small subunit ribosomal RNA
Source: RNAcentral